UAGGGAAUAUUGGUCAAUGGGCGAGAGCCUGAACCAGCCAUGCCGCGUGCAGGAAGAAGGCCCUCUGGGUUGUAAACUGCUUUUGACUAGGGCCAAAAUGACCAUGCGUGGUAGAUUGAGAGUACUAGUAGAAUAAGCACCGGCUAACUCCGUGCCAGCAGCCGCGGUAAUACGGAGGGUGCAAGCGUUGUCCGGAUUUAUUGGGUUUAAAGGGUGCGUAGGUGGCUCUAUAAGUCAGUGGUGAAAGCCUGCAGCUUAACUGUAGGAUUGCCAUUGAUACUGUGGAGCUUGAGUACUGAUGAGGUAGGCGGAAUUGAUAGUGUAGCGGUGAAAUGCAUAGAUAUUAUCAAGAACACCGAUUGCGAAGGCAGCUUACUAAGGAGUUACUGACACUGAGGCA
RNAcentral lists this ribosomal RNA (400 nucleotides) under uncultured bacterium. RNAcentral's name for it is "bacterial SSU rRNA". It matches the Rfam family "Bacterial small subunit ribosomal RNA", at positions 355 to 753 of the family's 1533-position model. The record is from RNAcentral.